RNAcentral lists this ribosomal RNA (378 nucleotides) under uncultured bacterium. RNAcentral's name for it is "bacterial SSU rRNA". It matches the Rfam family "Bacterial small subunit ribosomal RNA", at positions 29 to 407 of the family's 1533-position model. The record is from RNAcentral.
AUUGAACGCUGGCGGAAUGCUUUACACAUGCAAGUCGAGCGGCAGCGCGGGGGCAACCCUGGCGGCGAGCGGCGAACGGGUGAGUAAUACAUCGGAACGUGUCCUUAAGUGGGGGAUAGCUCGGCGAAAGCCGGAUUAAUACCGCAUAAGCUCUGAGGAGGAAAGCGGGGGCUCCGUAAGGACCUCGCGCUGUUGGAGCGGCCGAUGUCGGAUUAGCUAGUUGGUGGGGAAAGGCCCACCAAGGCGACGAUCCGUAGCUGGUCUGAGAGGAUGAUCAGCCACACUGGAACUGAGACACGGUCCAGACUCCUACGGGAGGCAGCAGUGGGGAAUUUUGGACAAUGGGGGCAACCCUGAUCCAGCCAUUCCGCGUGAGUG